AGUGAACGCUGGCGGUAGGCCUAACACAUGCCAGUCGAACGGCAGCACAGGAGAGCUUGCUCUCUGGGUGGCGAGUGGCGGACGGGUGAGGAAUACAUCGGAAUCUGCCCAGUCGUGGGGGAUAACGUAGGGAAACUUACGCUAAUACCGCAUACGACCUUCGGGUGAAAGAGGGGGAUCGCAAGACCUCUCGCGAUUGGAUGAGCCGAUGUCGGAUUAGCUAGUUGGCGGGGUAAUGGCCCACCAAGGCGACGAUCCGUAGCUGGUCUGAGAGGAUGAUCAGCCACACUGGAACUGAGACACGGUCCAGACUCCUACGGGAGGCAGCAGUGGGGAAUAUUGGACAAUGGGCGCAAGCCUGAUCCAGCCAUACCGCGUGGGUGAAGAAGGCCUUCGGGUUGUAAAGCCCUUUUGUUGGGAAAGAAAUCGUUCAGGCUAAUACCCUGGGAGGAUGACGGUACCCAAAGAAUAAGCACCGGCUAACUUCGUG
This 490-nucleotide ribosomal RNA is filed under the name uncultured bacterium. RNAcentral describes it as "partial 16S ribosomal RNA". It matches the Rfam family "Bacterial small subunit ribosomal RNA", at positions 29 to 507 of the family's 1533-position model. The record is from RNAcentral.